UUUACCCUGACAUGUUAUCAAUCAUGUCUUCUACAGGCAAUAAAGUUAAAUAAAAAAAAAUACUUAAUUAUAGUAUAAGUGAAGUAUUACACAUUGGCUUAAUGAAGGAGUUAGGAGUAACAGUGGUCCUUUGCGUUAUUCGAUUUGUCUGUGGUAGGCAGCAAGAAUCAAAUUCCUCUCAACACCUUUCAAAAAUGAUUUCUGCUAUUUUUAAUUCUAUACCUUCUAAAGUUUGAUUGCACUUCAGCGUUUUUCAGUUUCCACGAAGUUUCAAUAAUUGACGCUAGCUAGCAUGGCAAUCCAAAGUUUUGUCCCGAAGCACAUUAACAA
This 330-nucleotide long non-coding RNA is filed under the name Glycine max (soybean). RNAcentral's name for it is "long non-coding RNA (GMAX_LNC004254)". Lineage: Eukaryota; Viridiplantae; Streptophyta; Magnoliopsida; Fabales; Fabaceae. The record is from RNAcentral.